Molecule: ribosomal RNA, 119 nt
Organism: Lupinus angustifolius (narrow-leaved blue lupine)
Lineage: Eukaryota; Viridiplantae; Streptophyta; Magnoliopsida; Fabales; Fabaceae
Source: Rfam
AGGUGCGAUGAUACCUGCACUAAUGCAUUGAAUCCCAUAAGAACUCCACAGUCAAGCGUGUAUGGGCGCGAGUAGUACUAGGAUGAGUGACCUCUUGGGAAAUCCUCGUGUUGCACCUC